UCGGGAAUUUUGGGCAAUGGGCGAAAGCCUGAUCCAGCCAUGCCGCGUGAGUGACGAAGGCCUUAGGGUUGUAAAACUCUUUCGUCGGGGACGAUAAUGACGGUACCCGAAGAAGAAGCUCCGGCUAACUUCGUGCCAGCAGCCGCGGUAAUACGAAGGGAGCUAGCGUUGUUCGGAAUCACUGGGCGUAAAGCGCACGUAGGCGGAUAGUUAAGUCAGGGGUGAAAUCCUGGGGCUCAACCCCAGAACUGCCUUUGAUACUGGCCGUCUCGAGGUCGAGAGAGGUUGGUGGAAUUCCUAGUGUAGAGGUGAAAUUCGUAGAUAUUAGGAAGAACACCAGUGGCGAAGGCGGCCAACUGGCUCGAUACUGACGCUGAGGUGCGAAAGCGUGGGGAGCAAACAGGAUUAGAUACCCACGUAGUCCCUGAGCGGGCUGGCAAGGCGCAU
This 447-nucleotide ribosomal RNA is filed under the name uncultured bacterium. RNAcentral's name for it is "bacterial SSU rRNA". It matches the Rfam family "Bacterial small subunit ribosomal RNA", at positions 355 to 825 of the family's 1533-position model. The record is from RNAcentral.